Molecule: long non-coding RNA, 738 nt
Filed under: Rattus norvegicus (Norway rat)
Lineage: Eukaryota; Metazoa; Chordata; Mammalia; Rodentia; Muridae
Description: long non-coding RNA NONRATT026861
Source: RNAcentral
UUAUUUUUUGAGACGGAUCUCUUCACUGAGCUCGCACGCAUCUAGGCUGGCUGGCCCAGGGCCUCAGGGAUCCUUUUAUUUCUGGCCCCUCACCCCAGUGGUUAUACAUGCAAACCUGACUUCUUACACGGCUUCUAGGGGCUCGAAUUCAGGUCCUCAUACUUGCAUGACACUCUACCAACUGAGUGAUCUUUUCAGCACUUCGAGAUUUAGAAACACGUUAGAAUACACUCAGAAAGUAUGUCUCCUUCAGCCUUUGUGUCAGUGCCGGCAAAAGGCUGGCCAAUUUCAAUAUGGUGUUUUAUUUACAGCGCUCUUACUUUACCAGUUGUGGGGUCUCCCGAGUUCUGCCUCAGCCUUUGUUGAAGCUGGCACUGGAGAUUUGCACCACCACACCUGCCUUUGAGUUAAAACUCUCUUCUGACCUUCACCACUAGUCCCUGGGUGGCUAUGCUGACUAGAGAGUCAUCUCUCACGAAACCAGUUCUUAAACUGCUUCACCUCAUUUUUCCCCAGAAUCUGGCAGUAGGCUUAAAAAGUGCCUUCUAGGCCACAACGUUGCUUUGUAAAGAAAGGAUUUCAAGUAGAGUUGUGCUUCUUCUCAAGAAAACCAGCAAUUUGAUUUUUUUUUAAAAUUAGUGACAACAGCAUUUCAGAAGCUUUGGGGAGCCAAGAAAAGACUAUUGGUGAUUUGCUGAGGGUUGGUCUUGUGCUGUAAUGUAUUCAAAUACUGGCCCC